This 337-nucleotide unclassified non-coding RNA is filed under the name soil metagenome. RNAcentral's name for it is "partial contains 5.8S ribosomal RNA, internal transcribed spacer 2, and large subunit ribosomal RNA". The stretch from base 1 to 121 matches the Rfam family "5.8S ribosomal RNA", at positions 35 to 154 of the family's 154-position model. The record is from RNAcentral.
GAUGAAGAACGUAGCGAAAGUGCGAAACGUAAUGUGAAUUGCAGAAUUCAGUGAAUCAUCGAAUCUUUGAACGCACAUUGCGCCCCUUGGUAUUCCAUGGGGCAUGCCUGUUCGAGCGUCAUUUGUACCUUCAAGCUUUGCUUGGUGUUGGGUGUUUGUCUCGCCUUUGCGUGUAGACUCGCCUUAAAAUAAUUGGCAGCCGGCGUAUUGAUUUCGGAGCGCAGUACAUCUCGCGCUUUGCACUCAUAACGACAGCGUCCAAAAGUACAUUUUACACUCUUGACCUCGGAUCAGGUAGGGAUACCCGCUGAACUUAAGCAUAUCAAUAAGCGGAGGA